CAGGAUGAACGCUAGCGGCAGGCUUAACACAUGCAAGUCGAGGGGCAACGCGAGUAGCAAUACUUGGCGGCGACCGGCGCAAGGGUGCGUAACGCGUGAGCAACAUGCCCGUAUCAGGGGGAUAAUCCAGGGAAACUUGGUCUAAUACCCCAUAGUAAUUUUGUAAGGCAUCUUAUAAGAUUUAAAGCUUUGGUGGAUACGGAUUGGCUCGCGUGACAUUAGCUGGAUGGUAAGGUAACGGCUUACCAUGGCUAUGAUGUCUAGGGGUUCUGAGAGGAAGGUCCCCCACACUGGAACUGAGACACGGUCCAGACUCCUACGGGAGGCAGCAGUGAGGAAUAUUGGACAAUGGAUGGAAAUCUGAUCCAGCCAUGCCGCGUGAAGGAAGAAAGGUCCUAUGGAUUGUAAACUUCUUUUGUAUGGGAGCAAUAAGGCCUACGAGUAGGCUGAUGAGAGUACCAUACGAAUAAGCACCGGCUAACUCCGUGCCAGCAGCCGC
Molecule: ribosomal RNA, 499 nt
Filed under: uncultured bacterium
Lineage: Bacteria
Description: bacterial SSU rRNA
Rfam family: Bacterial small subunit ribosomal RNA
Source: RNAcentral